ACCGCUCACCAGGUUGUGAUGAGAAGGAUCAUCUGAAAUGCUCCAUUGCUCUCAGAAGUUGAGGUAACUUCAUUGGGCCCAAACUGAUAAACUAGGAAUGGCUCAGAAAAUAGCCCCUUAGAAGAACUGUAUGAAGCUUGGAUCCAUUUUUCUGAGAAAAAAGAAAAAUCCCUCCAAUGAUUUGGUGAGGAGUUGAAGACAAAUAUCUUUAUUAUUUAUAAGUAUUCUGGCCAAGACAAUGAGUGUUGGAGUGGGAGGAUGAGGGAAUUUUAUGAUGAACGACAGCACAGCAAGAUGGACAGUAAGGCUCUGUCAUUGCCAUACCAGAU
RNAcentral lists this long non-coding RNA (329 nucleotides) under Homo sapiens (human). RNAcentral describes it as "HSALNT0213712". The record is from RNAcentral. Lineage: Eukaryota; Metazoa; Chordata; Mammalia; Primates; Hominidae.